This 445-nucleotide unclassified non-coding RNA is filed under the name Hevea brasiliensis (rubber tree). Lineage: Eukaryota; Viridiplantae; Streptophyta; Magnoliopsida; Malpighiales; Euphorbiaceae. The record is from RNAcentral.
CAAAAAACUCAUCUUCUCCCACCUUUCAAUCAGAUUCAAACGGACAGCAACAAUUCGUACGGCUUGGCUAAGCACAUAGAGAUCAAAGAAAUUACCCACACAGACCGUCCAUCAAGGUUGCCAGCUUCUUGAAAGAGGGCUUUCAAUUUUUGUUGCAGUUGCUUGAGGAGCCAUUGAUAAUGGCGGCUCUGAAGGACCUCCUGCCUCCAGUUAAGUCAACUACAUCAACCUAUUAUGAUCAUUCAAAUGAUCCAUGGUUUAAACAACGUUUCAGCUCAUCUGAGGCAGAGCAAACCACUGUUGUCGCUCAUAAACAAGUGCCUCCCUACUUAGAGCGUAAAGGUUUUAUUCCCCGGAGAGUGGAGGAUUUUGGGGAUGGGGGUGCUUUCCCUGAGAUUCAUAUCGCCCAAUACCCUCUUGAUAUGGGUAGGAAUAAAUCUGCAAA